UACGGAGGGUGCGAGCGUUGUCCGGAAUCACUGGGCGUAAAGGGCGCGUAGGCGGCAUGCCAAGCGUGUGGUGAAAGCCCGGGGCUCAACCCCGGGUCGGCCGUGCGGACUGGCGUGCUCGAGCACUGUAGGGCGGGUGGAAUUCCGGGUGGUAGCGGUGGAAUGCGUAGAGAUCCGGAAGAACACCGGUGGCGAAGGCGGCCCGCUGGGCAGGAAGGCUCGCAAGAGCCGGCUGACGCUGAGGCGCGACAGCGUGGGGAGCAAACAGG
This 269-nucleotide ribosomal RNA is filed under the name uncultured bacterium. Its description in RNAcentral is "partial 16S ribosomal RNA". It matches the Rfam family "Bacterial small subunit ribosomal RNA", at positions 524 to 776 of the family's 1533-position model. The record is from RNAcentral.